Small nucleolar RNA from Pipistrellus kuhlii (Kuhl's pipistrelle), 133 nucleotides. RefSeq annotates it as small nucleolar RNA SNORA42/SNORA80 family. NCBI's taxonomy places the organism in Eukaryota, Metazoa, Chordata, Mammalia, Chiroptera, Vespertilionidae. The record is from RefSeq and is a predicted model, not a curated record. The transcript has a single exon.
GCAUGGGUUUGGAUUGUUGGCAGGCCCGACCCCCUGGGUCUUUCAUGUGCCCCAUGCCAGAGCAAGCUGCAGACAUGAACCAUUGCCCGGCCUCUGCUCAUAGUCUGCAGGCACUGAAGCAGGUUACACAGUA